Fukomys damarensis (Damara mole-rat) is the source of this 446-nucleotide long non-coding RNA. RefSeq lists it as uncharacterized. NCBI's taxonomy places the organism in Eukaryota, Metazoa, Chordata, Mammalia, Rodentia, Bathyergidae. The transcript has 3 exons. The record is from RefSeq and is a predicted model, not a curated record.
AUUUUGUCUUAACAUAAGACUGAAUUAGAUCAGCCAUUGCAGGUCAAGAGGAACGCAUGGAGAAUUGGCCAGGGUGAAUGCCACCUCCGGAAGAUGAGCCAAGAAAAGGAACAAGCGCUUUCCAAAGUCAGCUUCCAGGGAGGAGCGGAAGGAAGAAUUCACCCGGUGAAUUUCCGAGGAUCUUCCGAUGGCCCCUCCUGCAGAGAACCGGGCUGAAUGGCUGGAGCAGGAGAUGGAAAUCAGCAGUUCCGACCACCUCAUUUGACAGAAGAGAGAGAAAAGGACUGUGGCUCCAGGAGGUAUCUAAUUAAUAACCUGGGGAUGUCUGUGUUAGAGCUGAGAGCCACAUAUCAUAGAAAUGGGAGAAUCAAGAUGCAUUGUUCUAAAGCAGUGGUUUCUUAUAUUCUGCACUUCAAUGAGCUACACCCUGGAGUCUGUGGAAGCAA